AUGGCAAGCUCCUCGGCGAACUCCUUCCCCUCAUCUCCGUUUGCACACACCGCAACAGAGAAGCUUACGAGAGGGAACGAGGCGCUAUGGCGCGCCACCGUGCUCUCGGCCAUCCGAGGGGCGCAGAUGGCGUCCUUCCUCGACGUCGAGCAGGUGGUGCCCCCGACGGAAAUUGAGGUCACGAGCAGCGACGGUAAGACCAAGUCCAAGGCCCCCAAUCCAGAGUUCGGUGCGUGGUACGCGCGCGAUCAGCAGGUGUUCUCCUACCUGCUGACCACGCUGCCUCGCGAGAUGGCCAUCCAGGUGGCGACGUGCCACACCGCAGCAGAGCUGUGGAACACGGUGCAGGGGAUGCUGGCAUCGCAUACCCGUGCCUAG
This 378-nucleotide ribosomal RNA is filed under the name Triticum aestivum (bread wheat). Its description in RNAcentral is "partial small subunit ribosomal RNA". Lineage: Eukaryota; Viridiplantae; Streptophyta; Magnoliopsida; Poales; Poaceae. The record is from RNAcentral.